Perca flavescens (yellow perch) is the source of this 501-nucleotide long non-coding RNA. RefSeq lists it as uncharacterized. The transcript is spliced from 3 exons. NCBI's taxonomy places the organism in Eukaryota, Metazoa, Chordata, Actinopteri, Perciformes, Percidae. The record is from RefSeq and is a predicted model, not a curated record.
GCGGCUAGUUGUUUUUUCAUUAGGGAUGAGCCCUCUGUGCCUGAAGAUCAGAGGGUGACAUGCGCAUUGCACGGAGCGCUCACGAGCCGCGGACACAAUGCUGGAAAAUAAAGCGCGCAGCUUGCUUCUUGAUAUCUUGCAGUCCCUCAAUAAGCUGUUAUGACUUGUCCCAUCAGGAAAGUGUCAUUCUUGGUAUUCGGUACUGGUAAAUUGACCCUGCGGACUGGUGGAGGAGGUGGAUGUGCUGUGCUUGGAGCUCAGUGGGGACCUGUUGAUAGCCCGCCGGCGCUGCAAUGGAGGUGCCAAACAGAGAUGAAUGACGUGUAACUGAGACAGAAAGUCACAAAGACACAAGUUAUCCAAACAAUCUGUCAGGCUACAAUGGAAAUCCUGGAUACUCAGCGUGCCUUGGAAGCUGUGGAGAGAUUGCAAGCCAAACUGAAGGAGAGAGGAGAGGCCCCCACACAGGAGAAACUCUCCCUGCUAAAGACUGUCCUGCAG